This 352-nucleotide ribosomal RNA is filed under the name Pseudotrogulus mirim. RNAcentral's name for it is "partial small subunit ribosomal RNA". The record is from RNAcentral. Lineage: Eukaryota; Metazoa; Arthropoda; Arachnida; Opiliones; Gonyleptidae.
GAUUAGAUACCCUAUUAUUUUAUAGACAAUAAGAAUUAGUAUUUUAAAUGAAAUUUAAUAAUUUUGGCGGUUAGGGUUUUUUAGAGGAGCUUGAAUAUCAUAGAAUUUGCUCUUUAAAUCUUAGCAAUGAUAUAAUUUAUUCAUCUCCGUUAUUAAAAUAAAAUUUUAAUAAGUAUUUUUAGUAUAUCAGGUCAAGAUGUAGUGUUUAUUGGAAAUUGUUAGCUACAUUUAUGAAAUAUUGGACAAUUUUAUGGAAAAAAUUUUAGAAAUUGAAUUUAGAUGUAAUAAUAAUUAAAAAGUUAUUAUGAAUAUAUAUCCUUAAUGUACAUAUUGCCCGUCACUUCUGUUAAUA